UGACCUCAAAUCAGGUAGGACUACCCGCUGAACUUAAGCAUAUCAAUAAGCGGAGGAAAAGAAACUAACAAGGAUUCCCCUAGUAACUGCGAGUGAAGCGGGAAGAGCUCAAAUUUAAAAUCUGGCGGCGUCCUCGUCGUCCGAGUUGUAAUCUGGAGAAGCGACAUCCGCGCUGGACCGUGUACAAGUCUCUUGGAAAAGAGCGUCGUAGAGGGUGACAAUCCCGUCUUUGACACGGACCGCCAGGGCUUUGUGAUGCGCUCUCGAUGAGUCGAGUUGUUUGGGAAUGCAGCUCAAAAUGGGUGGUAAAUUCCAUCUAAAGCUAAAUAUUGGCGAGAGACCGAUAGCGAACAAGUACCGUGAGGGAAAGAUGAAAAGAACUUUGGAAAGAGAGUUAAACAGUAUGUGAAAUCGCUGAAAGGGAAACGCUUGAAGUCAGUCGCGUCGGUCRGAAUUCAGCCUUGCUCACGCUCGGUGUACUUUCUGACCGACGGGUCAGCAUCGAUUUUGACGGUCGGAUAAAGGUCGAGGGAAUGUGGCACCUUCGGGUGUGUUAUAGCCUUCGGUYGGGAUACGACGGUCGGGAUCGAGGAAAACCGGGCGCUUUCGCG
This 611-nucleotide ribosomal RNA is filed under the name Sparassis crispa. Its description in RNAcentral is "eukaryotic LSU rRNA". It matches the Rfam family "Eukaryotic large subunit ribosomal RNA", at positions 1 to 611 of the family's 3401-position model. The record is from RNAcentral. Lineage: Eukaryota; Fungi; Basidiomycota; Agaricomycetes; Polyporales; Sparassidaceae.